UCUCUGCCCAAUGAAAUUUCAAUGGCCGCAGUAUUCUAACUGUGCAAAGGUAGCAUAAUCAUUUGUUUUUUAAUUGAAAACUUGAAUGAAAGAGUUGACGUAAAAUAAACUUUUUUUUAAAAAAAUUAAAUUGACAUCAAAAUUAAAAGGUUUUAAUAAAAUAAAGGGACGAUAAGACCCUGUGAAAUUUAACUUUAUUAAAAUUAUUUAAAUAUAAAUUAUUAUAUACAGUUUAACUGGGGCGGUUGAUACAAAAAUCUUUUUUUUUAAAAAAACACAAAUGUUAACAUAUAGAACUAAAAUUUUCAAAUUGAACAAAUUACUCCAGGGAUAACAGCACAAUUUCUUUGUAUAGACCAUAUAGAUAAAGAAGUUUGUGACCUCGAUGUUGAAUUGAAAAUACAUAUUUAAGCAAAAAUUUAUAAUGCUAGUCUGUUCGACUAUUAAACUUUC
Molecule: ribosomal RNA, 453 nt
Filed under: Stenasellus virei
Lineage: Eukaryota; Metazoa; Arthropoda; Malacostraca; Isopoda; Stenasellidae
Description: partial 16S ribosomal RNA
Rfam family: Bacterial large subunit ribosomal RNA
Source: RNAcentral